This 30-nucleotide non-coding RNA is filed under the name Mus musculus (house mouse). The record is from RNAcentral. Lineage: Eukaryota; Metazoa; Chordata; Mammalia; Rodentia; Muridae.
UGGGUGCUCGACCAUUUAAUCCUUGCAAGA